ACGCUCGACACCUACGGGAGCCAGCAGUGGGGGAUAUUGCACAAUGGGGGAAACCCUGAUGCAGCGACGCCGCGUGGAGGAAGAAGGUUUUCGGAUUGUAAACUCCUGUCGUACGGGACGAUAAUGACGGUACCGUACAAGAAAGCCACGGCUAACUACGUGCCAGCAGCCGCGGUAAUCUGAGCGGGCUGGCAAGGC
Molecule: ribosomal RNA, 198 nt
Filed under: uncultured bacterium
Lineage: Bacteria
Description: partial 16S ribosomal RNA
Rfam family: Bacterial small subunit ribosomal RNA
Source: RNAcentral